AUACGGAGGGUGCGAGCGUUAAUCGGAAUUACUGGGCGUAAAGCGCGCGUAGGCGGUUUGUUAAGUCGGAUGUGAAAUCCCCGGGCUCAACCUGGGGCCUGCAUCCGAUACUGGCAGGCUAGAGUCUGGUAGAGGGGGGUAGAAUUCCUGGUGUAGCGGUGAAAUGCGUAGAUAUCAGGAGGAAUACCAGUGGCGAAGGCGGCCCCCUGGACUGAGACUGACGCUGAGGUGCGAAAGCGUGGGGAGCAAACAGGAUUAGAUACCCCAGUAGUCC
RNAcentral lists this ribosomal RNA (274 nucleotides) under uncultured bacterium. RNAcentral describes it as "partial 16S ribosomal RNA". It matches the Rfam family "Bacterial small subunit ribosomal RNA", at positions 523 to 796 of the family's 1533-position model. The record is from RNAcentral.